RNAcentral lists this unclassified non-coding RNA (380 nucleotides) under uncultured bacterium. RNAcentral's name for it is "contains 16S-23S intergenic spacer region". The record is from RNAcentral.
UCCAGUUUAUCACCGGCAGUCCCCUUAGAGUGCCCACCAUGACGUGAUGGCAACUAAGGGUAAAGGUUGCGCUCGUUGCGGGACUUAACCCAACACUUCACAGCACGAGCUGACGACAGCCAUGCAGCACCUGUGGAAAGGUCUCUUGCGAGAAAGCUGGCUUUCACCAGCGGUCCUAACCAUGUCAAGCCUGGGUAAGGUUCUUCGCGUAGCCUCGAAUUAAACCACAUGCUCCACCGCUUGUGCGGGUCCCCGUCAAUUUCUUUGAGUUUCAGUCUUGCGACCGUACUCCCCAGGUGGUGGAUUUAAUGCGUUAGCGUCGGCACCGGGGGGAUCGACACCCCCGACACCUAAUCCACAUCGUUUACGGCAAGGACUAC